UCUGACGACCAUAGCGAAUCGGCCCCACCCCUUCCCAUCCCGAACAGGACCGUGAAACGAUUCCGCGCCAAUGAUAGUGUGGUUUUCCCAUGCGAAAGUAGGUCAUCGUCAGAC
Molecule: ribosomal RNA, 114 nt
Filed under: Candidatus Dactylopiibacterium carminicum
Lineage: Bacteria; Pseudomonadati; Pseudomonadota; Betaproteobacteria; Rhodocyclales; Rhodocyclaceae
Source: RNAcentral